UAAUCUGUUCCUUGAUCGCUGC
RNAcentral lists this non-coding RNA (22 nucleotides) under Arabidopsis thaliana (thale cress). Lineage: Eukaryota; Viridiplantae; Streptophyta; Magnoliopsida; Brassicales; Brassicaceae. The record is from RNAcentral.